GUGCUCACUUUGGCACCAGAUACACUGAAUUUGGAACAAUACAGAGAAGAUGAGCACAGCCCCUGUGCAAGGAUGACAUACAAAAUUUAUGAAACUUUUUAUGAAUCU
Cercocebus atys (sooty mangabey) is the source of this 108-nucleotide small nuclear RNA. The record is from Ensembl. Lineage: Eukaryota; Metazoa; Chordata; Mammalia; Primates; Cercopithecidae.